UAACUGAAGAGUUUGAUCAUGGCUCAGAUUGAACGCUGGCGGCAGGCUUAACACAUGCAAGUCGAGCGGAGAGAGGUAGCUUGCUACUGAUCUUAGCGGCGGACGGGUGAGUAAUGCUUAGGAAUCUGCCUAUUAGUGGGGGACAACAUUUCGAAAGGAAUGCUAAUACCGCAUACGUCCUACGGGAGAAAGCAGGGGAUCUUCGG
RNAcentral lists this ribosomal RNA (206 nucleotides) under Acinetobacter pittii. RNAcentral describes it as "partial 16S ribosomal RNA". It matches the Rfam family "Bacterial small subunit ribosomal RNA", at positions 1 to 215 of the family's 1533-position model. Lineage: Bacteria; Pseudomonadati; Pseudomonadota; Gammaproteobacteria; Moraxellales; Moraxellaceae. The record is from RNAcentral.